GGAAUGUUAGCUCAGCUGGUUAGAGUAUUACCUUGACAUGGUAGGGGUCGGCGGUUCGAAUCCGCCACAUUCCA
This 74-nucleotide transfer RNA is filed under the name Flavihumibacter sp. ZG627. It matches the Rfam family "tRNA". From Rfam's summary of the family: Transfer RNA (tRNA) molecules are approximately 80 nucleotides in length. Their secondary structure includes four short double-helical elements and three loops (D, anti-codon, and T loops). Further hydrogen bonds mediate the characteristic L-shaped molecular structure. tRNAs have two regions of fundamental functional importance: the anti-codon, which is responsible for specific mRNA codon recognition, and the 3' end, to which the tRNAs corresponding amino acid is attached (by aminoacyl-tRNA synthetases). tRNAs cope with the degeneracy of the genetic code in two manners: having more than one tRNA (with a specific anti-codon) for a particular amino acid; and 'wobble' base-pairing, i.e. permitting non-standard base-pairing at the 3rd anti-codon position. Lineage: Bacteria; Pseudomonadati; Bacteroidota; Chitinophagia; Chitinophagales; Chitinophagaceae. The record is from Rfam by way of RNAcentral.